UACGUAGGUCCCGAGCGUUGUCCGGAUUUAUCGGGCGUAAAGCGAGCGCAGGUGGUUUAUUAAGUCUGGUGUAAAAGGCAGUGGCUCAACCAUUGUAUGCAUUGGAAACUGGUAGACUUGAGUGCAGGAGAGGAGAGUGGAAUUCCAUGUGUAGCGGUGAAAUGCGUAGAUAUAUGGAGAAACACCGGUGGCGAAAGCGGCUCUCUGGCCUGUAACUGACACUGAGGCUCGAAAGCGUGGGGAGCAAACAGG
This 252-nucleotide ribosomal RNA is filed under the name uncultured bacterium. RNAcentral describes it as "partial 16S ribosomal RNA". It matches the Rfam family "Bacterial small subunit ribosomal RNA", at positions 524 to 776 of the family's 1533-position model. The record is from RNAcentral.